AGUCAUUUCAAGGUGUCAAAAUGCGACAAAAACAAAACUAUUACAAAAUGUCAUUGAAAACUUUAUCCAGAAAUUCUGAAUAAAUGGCAUGGUACUUUGUUCUUAAAUGAAUGUUAAAAUAUAACACCCUUAAUUUAAGUGAAAAAUCUCAAAGAAAUCGUUCUGUUUGAUUUUUAGAAACGUUGGCUUGAAUGUCAGCUGCUUACAUGUAAAGGUGUUAUUUUGCUUAUUUACUCAAAAAUCGAUUCUACAAUUAUUGAAUUCGUCGGGAAUUAAAAAAAUUCUCGUAUUUGUUUUUGAUCACGGUGUUUUUGACUUUGAUCUCAAGGAGAUCAAGCAUUAUUCAAUGCAAUCAUUGAGUUUCAAAUUCAUUGAAACAUUUUAACACCGCUAAGUUUUAUCCUUAACUGAAGGAAAAUGUUGCGCUUAUUUUCAUGGGUGUAGUUUGUUGUCUCCAUUAUGGUUUACUAUUGUCUCGAAUCGCCAUAUCACAGUUCAUUUCUGUUUAUCAUGAAUUCAUAAAACGCGUGAUUGCUUUCUUUCGACUUUCCGGAACCACACUAAAAUCUGCCGAGCUAGUAUUACUACUACAGUGGCACUGUGAUUCAAGUUGUCAUUGCUUUUUGUAGAGGAGGAAACUGGCGAAUUUUGAAAGAGCCUUCUUGCCAACGACAAACUUAAGAGGUGAUUUCUCAGCGAUUCUUCUCGAUCAAGGGAAUUAAAAUAUGUUAGGUUGAACCUGUUUGAAUGCCACAAAAAUAGCUCUUGCUUUACAUUGCCAACUUUUCUAUUUUAGGGUGCUCAAAUAGACCGAUUUCAAUAUAUUAAAAUUCUAACUUGGCUCUCGAGGCCUAGGAGAAUAACAGAAGAAAUCAAUUACUCAUCCCUCGACCUCGAUGUGAAUUGUUUUGUUUUGUUUCCCCAAGCCUCGGAGCCAAGUUAGAAUUUUAAUCUAUCAAAGUUGGCCUGUUGGUUAUAAGUCAAUCAGAACCCUUGUCUACUGCCCUGAUUUCUUGCGAUAUAAGUUCACUGAUUUGUUUUUGGUUUUUGGCCAAAUUUGGACAUUAUAACAUCCUCAUCGUAUUUUUUUUAUGCUCUUCGACAGAUCUUCAGGCUCGUUAACCUGUCUUUUGGUCUCGCCAUAGAUAUUUGGGCUUGAAGCCUCUCGCCAAAAAUCAGUACAAAUCAAGGCACGACCAAACUCACCUGGCCGUCGAGGUGUAUCGUAAGCUACAUCAGGAUUUCCAUCUGCACCUGCCUACCUGUAUCUAUCUCUUACGUUCUUUUGUGACUAGGUGUCACAUAAGGCUUCAAAAGGUUUUCAAUAUAUGCAUUAAUCUUAGUACUAAUUUUAAGAAUAAUGUCUACAUCAAAACAUAAAACGACAAACGCAUAAAGGUAACAAUGGCCCGUGAUUGUGUCGAUGACAAGACUUCCCAAUUCUUUUCAUCACUUGGGCUUUGAUUUAUCGAUACUAUCACUCUUUAUCAGGUCAUGCUACAAUAAUGGUAUCACACCGAUGGCCAGUGAUUGAUAAACAAGUUCUGAGCAUCCUUUUUUAACAAAGCACCCUUAAAUUAGCUUAAAAUGCUUAUAACUAAAAAACAAGUUUGGUGACUCCUACUUUUAUUUUAAUAUGGCAUUGUCAUUAGACUGAUAAAGUACAACGUUUUGCUAAUUUUUCAAAAAUUCUGUGUAUGAAGUUCAAAGCCACAUUACCUUCUUCUCUACAGAAGGUUUUUUUUUGGAAAUUUGCGAAAGCGUUUAUCUCGUAGAAUGUUUGUCACGAAUCGAUAAGAAAGAAGUUGAAAGAGAGUAAACGAGCUCGUUUUGAGUUAUAAGCACUUGAAGCUAUAAUUAAGAGGUUUUUUUAAAAGGUUGUAUCGUUGCUAUGGUAACUUAUUACUCUAUGAAGAUGACCAUAUCUUGUUUACUGAUGAUUGCAGAUUUAUGUGAUACCCCGUUCCCGUACGGUCCUUGGAGCUUCGAACUGAGUUAUACAGUUGGCUCGAGUACAGCUGAGAAACCUAAUUGUGUUUAACUUUCCGAAACAGUAGUACACAAGCCGAAUGAUGUUUUUCCAAAGCAAUCUCAAAAAUAGAAAUAAAACACUGUUGUAAGCUGAUAAAAGCUUUAUUUAUGUUUUUUCUCAAGUUUGCGACACCUACUGUAACCGUUAAACCAAUUGUUAACCACUAUUUUCCAUAAGCACUUACAACAAAGAAGUCAUUUUAAAUCAAUUCUUAGUUCUCGCACGCCUACUGAUGGAAACAAAGGCCGUUGUUCUGUCCAUCUGGUUAAAAAGUUUUAAUUUCUUAAGAUAACUUUGUUAAUGACCUUUGACGUUACCCACAGCUUCAGAUUUUGGGAUUUCAUCUAUUCAGAUAGGCACAUCAAAAGGGUGCGCAAAUUGGAAAUUCGUGUGGGGUGACCUUGACAUGUUACGUUACUGGUAAAGGUUAAAUUGUAGGUUUUAAACAAAAAACGAUCGCAAUUGGCGUAGCAAAGCGCUGCCCUACUGAAGAUUUGACAUUAUUUUCGGCCAUAUGAGACGCUGGCAGAGAUAUGGUAAAAUGUGAUAUUCUGAUAGGAUAGAGUCUUACAGCGUUGUCAAAUGAGAUGAAAUCCUGCAAUGCAAUCUGUUCAUAACCUAAUAUGAUAUUUCGUCUUAGUAUUUCAGGUCACUUCUGUGUUGAGCUGGUUCAAAUUGUACGCUACAAUCUGUAACUCGGAUUGUUUUUUCAUAGUGCUAAAAUUUAUCUAUUCCUUUCGCCUUUUUGCGUGAAACAAAUACUCUUCUUUGUCACCUUACGUAACUUAGAAAAAGAAAAGCAAAUAAAGUAUUAUCGUUUUAUAAUUACUAACCUCAAAUGAUGGAAUAAAUUCAUCGCAAACGAAUGAAAUGUUUUUUGGGUUAGGUUAGCUUGGGUCUUAACACCUGCCGACCUGGCAAUAUAAAUAAUGAAAAGAGAAACUUCAGCUUGGCCGCUCGAUUUCUUGAUUUCGCUUUUGUUAUUGUUCGAGACGAUCUUCCAGAUGAAGCUAGCAAAAAGUAAGUAAUCCUCUGCUUUUGACGAAAUCAUGUUUGUAAAGGCUACAUUAUAUCUAUAAAUGUGCAUUUCUACAUUUAGGGAAAAGAAUGAAUGGAGUAUAUAUGUUACAGUGUGUAGAAAUACAUGCCCGCGAAAGACAAUGACACGUGCUGCUCGAAAAAAAAAAUGGAUGAUCCGGGCUAUCACAAAACUCUUUACCUUUAAGCUACAGUGGACGUCCCACACUUUGCUUCCAGAAGUUUUUGUGAUGAGAGAGAAUUUUUAAAAAGAAAGGACAGUGAUGCUUGCGCAAAUUUGAAAAAGAUGUUACUAAAUUAUUGGUACAACGUUUUUCUCCAUCUUGUGAACCUUCUGUCUUUCAGGAAGUAAAGAGGGAACAGUGGUCAGAUUUACGUUGUUCGUGUUUAUUUUAUUGGCGGACUACACUUGUUCACGUAUGUAUAAAUAUACCAAAUCAUUUAUUUUUAUGAUUUAUCGAGCGAUUUUACCAUGCCUAGUAUCACAGCAUGAUAAAAUAACAGAGCGAAGAACUCAGAGCAGAGUGAGUAGAUCCUCACCCUGCUUCAGUUCUGACAGCAGAAAUUCAUUCUCUCGCCUCCUUUCAAUGAUCAAUUUUUUUCAAAAUUAUUAAAAAUAAACGAACAAAUCAAGUAAAGAAGUAUAAAGCGUCUUCAUAAAGGUAAGAACAUCAAAAUAUGUUUAAGUUUUUAGUAGAAACCUAGGAAACAAUUUUUUUAAAAGACAACUCACUGAGUUAUGAUUCUAAGUUUUAGUGCACAACCUUUGUAAUUUCAUCAGAGCAAGUCUCUUGUAACUUUGAAGCUGGAUUUUGUGAUUGGAAGCAAGGAGAUAUAGAUUCCUUCGAUUGAACUCGAGGCAGUGGCUCAACACCUACCUGAUGAACUGGGCCGAGCGAGGAUCACACUACAGGAACAGGUAUUUCGAAACCUGGCAAAUCAAAGCUAAAUAGCAAUAAUAAAAAAAAACCUUAGCCACUUUUUUCCUUCCUUUUCUUUUUUCACUCAUUCUGUCCAUAUAUUACUUCCUAUUUAAAAUAGGGUUUUUGCAACUUUCCAUCGCCCUAUUGGGACAAAAGAGAAAAAAGGAAGAAAAAAGAUAAAAAGCACUUUGAAACAAGAUACCCAGGCUUACUUAGCCAAUAAACUAUUAUUGUUAUAAAAAUAACGUGAAAAAAGGUUUUAUGUUUGUUUAUUUGUACUUCAAAUUUUCAGAUGAUGGGUUCUACAUUUACAUAGUAUUAUCAUGCCAAUGGCAAAGCUUGUGUGGCUUUGGAUGGAGCAGUACGGCGGCUACAGUUGUGUGCAGAAUGCUGGGCUUUCCUCCUGCCACUGGAGCUCCUGAAAAAUCCGCCUUCGGGGUUGGAAGUGUUUCAAUGCGGCUGCAUGAAUUUUCCUACCACGGCACUGACCAUCAGUUAGCGGAGUGUCCCAUGGAUACAACAUCCUCGUAUGAAGGGUUGCUAUAUUUUUGUGACGACAACGAAGAAGCAGGAGUUGUUUGUGGAACCCCUAAUGUUACAGCGCGUCUGUCUGAUGGAGGAGCUCAUAAUCAGGGAAGGGUUGAACUGAACGUCAACGACCUCUGGGGGACAGUGGCUGAUCCAGAAUGGGACAGAAAAGAUGGUGACGUCGUCCGUCGAAUGCUCGGCCUUCUACCUGCCUCAGGUACUCCGGGUGGGGCUAUUUUCGGCCAGGGAACUGGAAUAGUAUGGCUAUCGCAUGUCAACUGCUUGGGAAAUGAAACUUCAACAACUGACUGUGGCAAUGAUGGUGGCUGGGAGACUGGAAGAUUGUACAGUUACAACGAACACGCAAAUGACGCGGGUGUAAUAUGUGGAGAGCCGAAUGUUCAGUUGCGGUUAGUCGACAGCCCGUCAGGCUCGGACAAAGACGGCCGUGUUGAACUGGGUAUCGGCGGCGUCUGGGGAGGAGUAUGUUCCCUUGAGUGGGACUUACGAGACAUUGCAGUGGUUUGUCAAAUGUUUGGAUUACCCCCUGCAUCGGUGGCGCAAGGAGAAACCGUGUUUGGCAACUCCGGGGACAAACCCUGGCUUGGAAAUUUAGAAUGCAUUGGUAACGAGUACAGUACAACAGAAUGUCCACACAGAGGGUGGGGUAAUACAGACAGAUUCCUUUGUGAUGGAAAGUCAGACGCUGGUGUUAUAGGUGGUCCACCUUACAGUGAGUCAUUUCAAUACCGCUCUUAGUAAAUUAAGCCUUCUACCAGUGCAAUGUUAAACCCACUGAGUAAUGCCAAACAAUACCAUGAGUUAAAUCUUAUUAUGUUCCAUAGAAAGGGACUUCUAGAAGUUAUUUAAAUGCUGUGAGAUGCAACAUAACGGUGUUUAAUUUUAAGUCGAAUACUUAUUAACCAUAAACUCCGGUAUAUAUCACAGAGAUUUUGGUCGCUUUCUCUGAAAGUCGUUUUAAAAGGGUUGUGGUUACAACGAGCAAUCGAACUAACGAAUACCUUUUCCCAGUCCCUUAGCACUUCUUUCCUUAUCGAGGUUUUACUCUAUAUUCCUUUUCUUUAGGUUUUGGUCAACGUUGAAAGGAAGGGGAGGGAUGAAAUCUUGUUGGGAAUAUUUAAUCACAAACGUUUCAUAUAAAUGGUUUGUUUGUGGCGUAUAUAUCCUUCAGUAACGUGUCGUAUUUUGUUAGUAAACAUUCGAUUAAUGGGAGUCAACUCUUCGGAUCAAAUGGGCCGAGUGGAAUUCUCGUUGAAUGGAGUCUGGGGCACAAUAUGUGAUGAUACUUGGAACAUUCGUAAUACGCAUGUCAUUUGUGAUAUGAUGGGGCUUCCUCCUGCUACCGCGGCUUUGGGUUCAGCAGUGUUCGGUCGAGGAAAGGGAGUGAUAUGGCUAGAUACCUUAAACUGCUUCGGAAAUGAAAGCUCCGUUUUGGAAUGCCAGCAUGGCGUAUUUCGAAAUGUAAAGGGCUGCAAUCGUUAUUCUGAUAGUGAUGCUAUGUGCGGAAUAGCUCCCGGUUUUUAAACAAAAGUGCUAUCGAAGAAAUUGAAGAGAUGUCUGGGGAAAGCAUUAAG
Molecule: unclassified non-coding RNA, 6116 nt
Filed under: Orbicella faveolata
Lineage: Eukaryota; Metazoa; Cnidaria; Anthozoa; Scleractinia; Merulinidae
Description: deleted in malignant brain tumors 1 protein-like, transcript variant X2
Source: RNAcentral